GGGGAAGCCGGUGCAAACCCGGCGCUGACCCGCAGCCGUGAAGCCGCCAGGCCAAGCCGGAAUGCCC
Molecule: non-coding RNA, 67 nt
Filed under: Streptomyces sp.
Lineage: Bacteria; Bacillati; Actinomycetota; Actinomycetes; Kitasatosporales; Streptomycetaceae
Source: RNAcentral